AUUUUCGAUGUGCACCAGCUGGUGAGUACAGUAGGCUUACAUUAUUGUCUUCAGCGGCCUAUUUCUGCUAGUUGGAGCUGGGCUGGCUGGUUGCAUUCCUUAUUUACGAAGUGAUGUAGUUUCUAAUAAUUGCAGUAAUUCAGUGUAAUCCACACACACACUGACUGGCAGGAAAACGCUACUGGGCAGGCAUUAAGGCACGUCUGAACGCCUUCUAUUAGUUGAAUAUAAAGAAUAAUCUGACUUGCUAUUUGGAAAUGUGUUUUUAGUAGUCCAGGAGCUAAGACUUUUAUUGUUUUGCUAUAGACCCACAUAAAAAAUAAAAAAGUCCAUUAGUGCAGGUAACACGAAACUGACCUAGGUCGUACUGCAGCUGUGCAUUUCAUCCAACAACAGUAAUCUUGGAUGACCGACGGUCCUAGGCAGCGGGGCAACACAUCUGCGGACGGGGAUACCCCUACCUCCUAAUCCAGUAAAGAGAGUGGCACUGAAGAAAGAGAGUGGCCUUGUCAGCGCAUGUGGAAUUAUUCUUUGUCUCAGGUGACAUAAUCGGGUCAGGGAUCAUUGUGAGCCCAAAGGGCGUUAUGGAGAAUGCCAGCUCUGUGGGGCUGGCUCUCGUAGUGUGGAUUGUCACCGGAGUGAUCACAGCCAUUGGUGCACUGCUUUGCUGAACUGGGCGCCACUAUCCCCAAAUCUGGAGGAGACUACUUAUACGUCAAGGUCUUUGGGAGGACUUGUUGGGCUUCACAGCAUAUCCCCCUUCUUUACCUUGGGAAAGCUGAUUUUUCUAUGAUGGCAUUCCUGCUGUGAUGGUUGCCUGGGAAGCUGUGCAGAACAGGCUCCUGGACCUCCUCUUCAACUAGGUCACCCUUGAUCCAGCGCUGUAUGUGGGGAAGCUGUGCAAGCUGUCCAUCGCAGAACCCCUGUGCCCAGUGUGAGAGGCCUCCACGACAGAGGCCUGACAAGGAGGAAGCCCUAGCUGGAUUUGUCUCCCGCUUCAAUCUUGGGAAUGACUGAAGCCAAGUGUGUGACUGAAGCCUGCAUAAUUGAAGCAGGGUACAUGGGUCCCCCUCCUCUCCCGCUCCCCUCCCAUCAAUCUCUGUAGUUGGUUGCAUUUGCUAAAGCAAUGAUCUUUUACGUCAUAAGAUAUCACCUUUUGUUAGUUUUUAUAGUUUUUUUUUCAAGCAUUCUAAUGGGAGAUGAGUGUUACAAAUUGUACAAAUGAAUGAGAUCCUGCACACUGUAGGGUGGCCAAGUGCCUAUAUUAGGCUCUAUGCCUCUAAUAUAUUUGUUUCUCAUUCAAAUUAUGUCAUACCAUUAUUUCUCAUGGGUGUUCAAGUUGAUCAAUAUUUUGGCUAUGUUGGCCUAUUGUAAAUUAGCGAAUAACUGUCUGAUCAAUAAAUUCAAUUCUGAACAUAUUGUCAUUUAUAAUGCUAUUUACUCAUUCUUGUGAAGUAUACUGAACAAAAAUAUAAAUGCAACAUGUAAAGUGUUGGUUUAAUGAGCUGAAAUAAAAGAUCAGAGACAUU
Oncorhynchus tshawytscha (Chinook salmon) is the source of this 1529-nucleotide long non-coding RNA. The record is from Ensembl. NCBI's taxonomy places the organism in Eukaryota, Metazoa, Chordata, Actinopteri, Salmoniformes, Salmonidae.